UGUCUCCAGCCCUUUGCAGAAGGCUGAAGGCGAGGUUCCACAUUGGGCUCCUAGCUUGCCAGUAAGCAUCCACCGUAUUUCACAGGGCUCUGCUUGGGAGGGCUCCAUGGCUGUGCCGUCAGAGAGGUUCCUUCAGAGAGAAGAGGAAUAGGAAGGAGAGGAGGCCAUAACGAGAAGAGGAGAGGUUAGGACAGGAGAAGCAGAUGGAUCUGCCACCACACAUAAUGUCCCUUCUGUCGUGGGCUGUGCUGUGACCGCCCCAUGGCAGCGGCCAGAUGGAGGUGGAAUGGGACCAAUGGGAUCAAUGCGGUGCUGCCUACAAUCUUCUCCCUGCAUCACCUCAGAUCCACAGACACAGAACCACAAAGGCAGUUUCCUCUCUGAGUGCUUGUCUACCUGGCUACGUCUGCGUCUGACCUGUCUGGAUCUAUGAAAUAUCAAAGCUUGUGUCAGGACGCGUGAAUAGGGAGAGAGAGGCACCAUUAAUGAUUAACUGUUCUAAAAGCCUAUCAGGCAGCCAUGUGACAUGCUCGCAGCAUGUUUUGAGCAGAUUGGGGGAAGCUAGUGAGCAAACACAGGUGCUUUGGACUGGAGUCGCCGACGCUGUCAGGGACAACCACAAACAAGAGCAGCACUGCCUAGCUAAAUGAGAGCCCACCCACUUUACUUACUCCCUGACUAGCUUAGCUUAGUCACUGACUGCAGUGGCUGGAGAGCCUCACCAGAGACCAAGUCCAAUGUCCCCCCAGUGUUCCACAACCUUUCACACAAACAAACAAAUAAAACGCGAGGAUUGGAGUCGCUGUGGUCUCAAGCAUAGGGGAAAGCAAACAAAUGAAUUGUGUUCCAGUUCUCACUUUCUAAAACAAACCAAAUGUGGGUUGAACACUUGUUCUUGAGAAGCCUAGUGGAGGCGAUGAGAGAUAUUCAGAAAUAUGCAGGAUGACAAACUGAUUGUCAGGAAAUGAAGUGGUUGAUUUGAUUGUUUCAUUAAUGUUUCAUGACAGGUGGAUGACGAAUAGAUCAUAAAGACACAAAAGCCUAUUUUCUGUCAACAAAGUAGACUAUUUUGUUGUCCUGAUUUUAUUUCGAUUUUUCUGGAGUUGUUUUCAAGGUUUUAUAAACACGGUCUAGGUCCAGGCACUUAACCAUUUUCUCCUCAACAACGUCUGUCCCUUUGUAAAACGACUGAGAGCGUUCUGUAGCACAACUUUGAUAACACAAUCAGAUGAUAUGAUGGCGUUAACUGAACACGGCUUUCCGGCAGCGAGAUAAAUGAACAGCACGAUAACGUUAACAAAAGCCUAGCUCUGAUUGGUAGGUCUAUGAUUGGAAAACAGGCAGCACGGAAAGUCUACACAAUAAGGGCAAUUCAUUAGAUUUGUUAUUUUCUACAUGACCUGGGUCAGACGGACACCUUUUGUAUCAGUCAAAUAUUUAUUUGUGUGUUUUACAGGUCUUUCGUUUCAUACCCAGCAAUUACAGUGAGCCUGUAAAGCAGAGCGAGACAGAGAGAGAGAAGCUGAGACAGAACAAGAGGGAGAAAAAGACAUAGAGAGAGAAGCUGAGAGAGAACGAGCGGGAGAGAGAGACAGAGAGAGAGAAGCAGAGAGAGAACAAGGGGGGAGGGGGUAGAAACAGGGAAUGGACUCAGGGGGUAUGCUAAUUUGGUAUAGAGCAGACCUAACUCACUCUAUUAAAUUAAUCAAAACAGGAACAUUUUACAUUUGUCUAGAACUUCAAAAGGAAAUUAUCUUCACAGAGAAAAAUGUCCUCCAGUGUGCUACCUAUAUCCCCCACUAGAAUCCCCAUACUUUAAUGAAGACAGCUUCUCCAACCUGUAGGGGGAAAUCAAUCAUUUCCAGGCCCAGGGACAUGUACUAGUCUGUGACGACCUAAAUGCCAGAACUGGACAAGAACCUGACACCCUCAGCACACAGGGGGACAAACACCUACCUGGAUGAGACAGCAUUCCCUCCUUUCCCUACCCGCUGGGUAUGUACAUAGUCAAUGGUAGGCUUCGAGGGGACUCCUAAGGUAGGAACACCUAUAGCUCAUCUCUUGGCAGUAGUACUGUAGACUACUUUAUCACUGACAUCAACCCAGUGUCACUCAGAGCGUUCACAGUCAGCCCACUGACACCCCUAUCAGAUCACAGCAAAAUCACAGUCUACUUGAACAGAGCACUACUCUAUCAUGAGGAAUCAGCCAAAGGAACUGAAUAAUAUUAAGAAAUGCUAUAGAUGGAAGGAAAGUAGUGUGGAAACCUACCAAAAAACUAUUAGGCAACAACAAAUUCAAUCCUUUUUAGACAACUUCCUGGACAAAACGUUUCAUUGUAAUAGUGAAGGUGUAAACUUGGCAGUAGAAAACCUAAACAGUAUAUUUUACCUCUUAGCUUCCCUAUCAAAUCUAAAAAUGUCAAACAGAAAACCCGAAGAAAAUUAACAACAAUGACAAAUGGUUUGAUGAAGAAUGCAAAAACUUAAGAAAGAAAUCAAGAAACCUAUCGAACCAAAAACAUAGAGACCCAGAAAACCUAAGCCUAUGCCUUCACUAUGGUGAAUCACAAAAAUAAUACAGAAAUACACUACGGAUAAAAGAAGGAACAGCACGUCAGAAAUCAGCUCAAUGUAAUCCAUAGACUCUAACCACUUCUGGGAAAAUUGGAAAACACUAAACAAACAGCACAGGAAAAAAAAAAAAAAAAAAUGUAUGAAAUUGUAUGAAAUGUAUGCAUUCACUACUGUAAGUCGCUCUGGAUAAGAGCGUCUGCUAAAUGACUAAAAUGUAAAAUGUAACAACAUGAAGAGUUAUCUAUUCAAAAUGGAGAUGUAUGGGUAAACCACUUCUCCAGUCUUUUUGGCUCUAUAACAAAGAACAAACAGCAAAAACAUAUACAUGAUCAAAUACAAAUCUUAGAAUCAACUAUUAAAGACUACCAGAACCCACUGGAUUCUCCAACUACAUUGAAUGAACUACAGGACAAAAUACAAACCCUCCAACCCCAAAAGGCCAGUGGUGUUGAUUGUAUCCUCAAUGAAAUGAUAAAAUAUGCAUACCACAAAUUCCAAUUGGCUAUACUUAAACUUUUUAACAUCAUCAUUAGCUCUGGCAUCUUCCCCAAUAUUUGGAACCACAAAAGUGGAGAUAAAUUUGACCCCAAUAACUAUCAUGGGAUAUGAAUCAACAGCAACCUUGGGAAAAUCCUAAGCAUUAUCCUUAACAUCAGACUCGUAUAUUUCCUCAGUGAAAACAAUGUACUGAGCAAAUGCCAAAUUGGCUUUUCACCAAAUUACCGUAUGAUAAAAAACACAUAUUCACACUGCACACCCUAAUUGACAAACAAACAAACCAAAACUAAGGCAAAGUCUUCUCAUGCUUUGUUGAUUUCAAAAAGGCUUUCGACUCCAUUUGGCAUGAGGGUCUGCUAUGCAAAUUGAUGAAAAGUGGUGUUGGGGGAAAAACAUACGACAAUAUAAAAUCCAUGUACACAAACAACAAGUGUGCGGUCAAAAAACUAAUUUCUUUCCACAGAGCUGUGGGGUGAGACAGGGAUGCAGCUUAAGCCCCACCCUCUUCAACAUAUAUAUCAACGAAUUGGCGAGGGCACUAGAACAGUGUGCAGCACCAGCCUCACCCUACUAGAAUCUGAAGUCAAAUGUCUACUGUUUUCUGAUAAUCUGGUGAUUCUGUCCCCAACCAAAGAGGGCCUACAACAGCACCUAGAUCUUCUGCACAGAUUCUGUCAGACCUGGGCCCUGAUAGUAAAUCUCAGUAAGACAAAAAUAAUGUUGUUCCAAAAACAAUCCAGUUGCCUGGACCACAAAGACAAAUUCCAUCUAGACACUGUUGCCCUAAAGCGGUGGUUCCCAAACUUUUUAUAGUCCCGUACCCCUUCAAACAUUGAACCUCCAGCUGCAUAACCCCUCUAGCACCAGGUUCAGAGCACUCUCAAAUGUUGUUUUUGACAUCAUUGUAAGCCUGCCACACACACACUAUACGAUACAUUUAUUAAACAUAAGAAUGAGUGUGAGUUUUUGUCACAACCUGGCUCGUGGGAAGUGACAAAGAGCACUUACAGGACCAGGGCACAAAUAAUAAUAUAAUAAUAAUCAAUAAUGAUGCUCUUUAUUUGACCAUCUUACAUAUAAAACCUUAUUUGUUCAUCAAAAAUGGUGAAUAACUCACCACAGGUUAAUGAGAAGAGUGUGCCUGAAAGGAUGCACAUAACUCUGCAAUGUUGGGUUGUAUUGGAGAGAGUCUCAGUCUUAAAUAAUUUUCCACACACAGUCUGUGCCUGUAUUUAGUUUUCAUGCUAGCGAGGGCCGAGAAUCCACUCUCACAUAGGUAUGUGGUUGCAAAAGGCAUCAGUGUCUUAACAGCAUGAUUUGUCAAGACAGGAUACUCUGAGCGCAGCCCAUUCCAGAACUCUGGCAAUGGCUUCUGAUUACAUUUUCACAGAACCGCUUGUUGCAAUUUCGAUGAAGCUCUCUUGUUCAGAUAUCGGUAAGUGGACUGGAGGCAGGGCAUGAAAGGGAUAACGAAUCCAGUUGUUUGUGUCAUCCGUUUCGGGAAAGUACCUGCGGAAUAGCGAAUCCAACUCCCUAAGGUGCUUUGCUAUAUCACAUUUGACAUUGACCGUAAGCUUGAGUUCAUUUGCUCACAAAAAAUAAUACAAUGAUGGAAAGACCUGUGUGUUGUCCUUGUUAAUGCAGACAGAGAAGAGCUCCAACUUUUUAAUCAUAGCCUCAAUUUUGUCCCGCACAUUGAAUAUAGUUGCAGAGAGUCCCUGAAAUCCUAGAUUCAGAUCAUUCAGGUGAGAAAAAACAUCACCCAGAUCGGCCAGUCGUGUGAGAAACUCGUCAUCAUGCAAACAGUCAGACAAGUGAAAAUGAUGGUCAGUAAAGAAAACUUUAAGCUCAUCUCUCAAUUCAAAAAAACGUGUCAAUACUUUGCCUCUUGAUAACCAGCACACUUCUGUAUGUUGUAUAAGCUUUACAUGGCCGCUGCCCAUAUCAUUGCAAAGUGCAGAAAAUAUACGAUAGUUCAGGGGCCUUGCUUUAACAAAGUUAACCAUUUUCACUGUAGUGUCCAAAAUGUAUUUCAAGCUGUCAGGCAUUCCCUUGGCAGCAAGAGCCUCUCAGUGGAUGCUGCAGUGUACCCAAGUGGCAUCGGGAGCAACUGCUUGCACGCGCGUUACCACUCCACUAUGUCUCCCUGUCAUGGCUUUUGCGCCAUCUGUACAGAUGCCAACAUGAGCAGCAGCUACGUUUGGCUACAUACGGACCGUUAGUGGCAUUCCCGCGAGACAGUAACGGUUAAUGUGAUUGGAUGUUAAUUAUUUGACUAGGCUACCUGUAUUUGACAUUGUGUUGUUAUUUCGCUGAACACUAGAUGGUUGAAUUGUAUUUUUGGCAGUGAAACGAGGCUACUCAGGCAAGAAAAAAACCUCACCCAAAUGUAUAGCCCCGUUGGAAAAUAUAAAUGGACUGUUUCAAAAUGUUAAGAAAUAAAUAUAUAAAAAAAUGUAAAAAGUGAAUCACAUUUUUAUUUGGCGUACCCCUGAUGGCAUUGCGCGUACCCCUGGGGAAUACCUGCUGUAGAGCACACAAAAAAACUAUACAUAUCUCGGCCUAAACAUACCCUCCCUGGCGCUCGAGGGCACCAGGCUACCCUUCUUUACACGCACCUGUCACUAUCAUUACGCGCAGCAGCGCUCAUUGGACUCACCUGGACUCCUUCACGUUGUUGAUUACCCCCUGUAUAUCUGUCUGUUCCUCUGUGGUGUUCCCUGUGUCCCCAUUAAUUGUUGUUAUGUGUUCCUGUCCAGACGCUGUUCCUGUUCCGUUUCAUGUCCGUCAGCUAUUAAACCUUCACUCCCUGUACCUGCUUCUCAUCUCCUGCGUCGUUCCUUACACGCCACAGGUAACUUCCACAAAGCUGUGAACGGUCUGAGAGACAAGGCAAGAAGGCCCUUCUAUGUCAUCAAAAGGAACAUAAAAUUCGACAUACCAAUUAGGAUCUGGCUAAAAAUACAUUAAUCAGUUAUUGAACCCAUUGCCCUUUAUGGUUGUGAGGUCUGGGAACCGCUCACCAAAUGGGACAAACACCAAAUUGAGACUCAGCAUGCAGAAUUCUGCAAAAAUAUCCUCGGUGCACAACAUAAAACACCAAAUAAUGCAUGCAGAGUAUAAUUAGGCCGAUACCUACUAAUUAUCAAAAUACAGAAAAGAGACGUUAAAUUCUACAACCACAUAAAAGGAAGCGAUUCCCAAACCUUCCAUAACAAAGUCAUCACCUACAGAGAGAUGAACCUGUAGAAGAGUCCCCUAAGCAAGCUGGUCAGCAACACAAUUAGACCCAACCAAAUCAUGAGAAAACAAAAAGAUAAUUACUUGACACAUUGGAAAGAAUCAAGAAAAAAACUGAGCAAACUAGAAUGUUAUUUGGCCCUGAACGGAGUACACAGUGGCAGAAUACCUGACCAAUGUGACUGACCCAAACUUAAGGAAAGCUUUGACUAUGUACAGACUCAGUGAGCAUAGCCUUGCUAUUGAGAAAGGCCGCCGUAGGCAGACCUGGCUCUCAAGAGAAGACAGGCUAUGUGCACACUCCCCAGAAAAUGAGGUGGAAACUGAGCUACACUUCCUAACCUCCUGCCAAAUGUAUGACCAUAUUAGAGACAGAUAUUUCCCUCAGAUUAUACAGACCCACAAAGAAUUUGAAAACAAACCCAAUUUCGAUAAACCCCCAUGUCUACUGGGUAAAAUACCACAGUGUGCCAUCACAGCAGCACAAUUUGUGACCUGUUGCCACAAGAAAAGGGCAACCAGUGAAGAACAAACACCAUUGUAAAUACAACUCAUAUUUAUGUUUAUUUAUCUUCCCUUUUGUACUUUAACUAUUUGCACAUAAUAUGACAUUUGAAAUGUCUUUAUUAUUUUGGAACUUUUGUGAGUGUAAUGUUUACUGUUACAUUCUAUUGUCUAUUUCUACUUC
This 7002-nucleotide long non-coding RNA is filed under the name Salmo salar (Atlantic salmon). RNAcentral describes it as "lncRNA (ENSSSAG00000083261.1)". The stretch from base 2736 to 2789 matches the Rfam family "UnaL2 LINE 3' element". The record is from RNAcentral. Lineage: Eukaryota; Metazoa; Chordata; Actinopteri; Salmoniformes; Salmonidae.